Molecule: long non-coding RNA, 3996 nt
Filed under: Lynx pardinus (Iberian lynx)
Lineage: Eukaryota; Metazoa; Chordata; Mammalia; Carnivora; Felidae
Source: RNAcentral
CCUUGGGCAAGUCUUUCCUACUCCUCCAUUUCUUCAUCUGGAAAACAGCUUUAGCAUAAAGCCUAAGUGAGCUAAUAGAACAGGCAUCAAGUGGAAGCCUAAUAGGGCAGCCCCGUGAGACUGCCACACUCAUACUUCCUUAGUGUAUCAGUCAUCUAGCUCUAGAGUAUGCUGUGUAACAAACUACCCCAAAACCCAGUGCCUUAAAAUAUUAAUCAUUUAUUUUUGCUUGUUCAUCUACAGGUCAGUCAGCUGCUGCUGGUUUGGACCAGGCUGGGCUUGGUUGCAGGUUGCCAGCUGAAUCUAGGUCUGCAGGACCAGGAACUAGCUGGUGCUUAUUCUUCUCAAGGUGAUGGCAGAGCAGCAAGAGGGUUGUAGCACAAGAGAGUGUAGAAGUGAAGAAGUGCGUGUAAAAGCAUAUCAUGUUACCUCAUGUCUGUGAACAUCACAUUGGCCAAAACCACUGUUAAUGGAGUGGAGAAUUAUAUUCUGCCCCUGGUGGGGGAGGGAGGGGCAUGGACAUUUCCUGAAUAAAAAUCCAACUUCCUGGUCAGGGUAGGCAAACAACUGUAGCAAAUGGCCCCUAUAGUGGCUUAAAGCAAUAAGAAUUUAUAUUGCACUCAUGUGGCAACACUAUACAUUGAUGUUUCUGGUCAGGCAGCUUACCUCCAUGUAGUGACUCAGGUCCUCAGGCUUCUUCUCUCUUGUCACUCUGCCCUCCUCCAGGUCCUGGGAGUUUACUCCGUGCAUCUGGGAGAUAGGAAAAGAGGAAACAAAUACAAGACUGCACUGGAGUUUUUAUGGACCAGUCUUAGAGGUAGUCUCCAUCAUUUCUGCCCUCAUCUCAUUGGCAGGACUUAGUCACAUGGUCUUACCUAACCGCAAGAGAGGCUGAGAAAUGUAGUCAAGCUGUGCACCCAGGAGAAAAAGAAGGCAAGUUUGGGCAGACCUGGAGCAUACACUAUUAAAGGAUCUGCCAAACUUGAGCGUGAAAAAACGCAGACAUCCUGAGACAUCAACUCUUCAUUGGGUCUCACUGGCACUUGAUUCCUUUUCAGAUGCAAUGGCAAGCAUUAUUUAGGUGUUACCUUAUGGGACCCCACCUUUGGCCUGAGCAUUUGUCCCAGUUUGGACCCAGGGUGAACUCCAAUUCCAAUUUUUAUUUUCAAAACAAAGGGAUCUAUUCCUUCUAGGUACAGCUAUAACACAUGUUUCAAACACAUCAAGCGCACAGGAUACCUAAACAAAGGAGCCUACAGGGACUUGCAGAUAUUCUUUAUUCUCAGCUCUGUGGCCCAUCUCUAAGAAAAUGGGUAUCCUCUGUCAUUUGUUGCUUAAGAACACUGGUCAAAUCUAUUAGUUUCAUUCAAUCCCAUGGGUAGUGUUUUUAUUUUAAUUUUUUAAUUUUUAUUAAAACUUUUUAAGUUUAUUUAUUUUGAGAGAGACAAAGAGAGCAAGCAAGGGAGGGGCAGAGAGAGAGAGAGAGAGGGAGAGACAGAAUCCCAAGCAGGCUCCACACUGUCAGCAUGGAGCCUGACACAGGGCUUGGACUCACAAACCGUGCAAUCACGACCUGAGCUGAGACCAAGAGUCAGAUGUUUAACCGACUGAGCCACCCAGGGGCCCCACUCCCACCAUUUUUUGAGACUAGAUUGUCCUUUAUGACUUUCUUCUAGCGAGUGAAAUGUAGCAGGGGUUAUGCUUUUUAACUUCUAUGGCUAAGACAUAAAAGUCCAUGGAGAUAUAAAAGGCCCGACUCUCUCUCAGGAUACCUCUGCACUCUGAGAAAACCAAGCACCUACAAGGAAAGGCUGCUUGUAGGCAUUCCAGCUACAGCCCCAGCUGAGGUCUGAGCCAUCAGCUAGCAUCAACCACUAAACAGGCAAACAGAUGAGCCUUGAAGCUUUAAAUUACCCCAGCCAUUGCUGAGUGGAACAAACACAAGUUGUCCCUGGCCAGAUUAUUACAGUUUCGUGAGCAAAAUAAAUGUGUAGUUGUUUUAAAUCACUGAGUUUCAGGAUGUUUUGUUAUGCAGCAGCACCGUGAGAUGGAAAAAUCAUAACUUAGUGGUGUCAGGGUCUCAGGUCCCAUUCGGGGAUUUUUCCUAAGUAUCUUCUGCAAUACUCACACAUAUACUUAGUUGUCAUUUAUCAAAUAUCCAUGAAGUUUCUAGCAGUGUUCUCUGGAUGUGGAAGAUAGAAAGAUGAUGAGACUCUUGAGUUACAAGUCUAGUGUAGUAAAUGAAUCGCUCUAAGUCAAUCAACAAGCUCAUGCUCAUGCCUUGCAUUUACUUAUGACUUGGGUGUCAUUUAUGUCUGACAACAUUUCAGCCUGCUGCUUGGAACAGAUUGUGUACUGUUAACAGAUGGUAUUGAGAGAGCCGAACCACUCAACUCCAAUUACAUUUCCAUUUUCUUUGUUGAGAAGGAUGCUUUGGAAAAUGUCGAGCUAAUAAGAGGGAGCUAAUGGAGUCUUGAUGACUGUCAACUGCGGGGUGAGGAGGUGGGGAAGGCAGUGGAGAGAAGCCUUUGGAGAUUUGCUGUGGGGCAACAUUCCUCAGGCCUGUUCAAUUUGACAAUUUUUUUUUUUUAAUUCGGGCUUUGAACGGGGAUAUAGAUAGAAUGCUGAUCAUAUUAGGAAGGAUGUAGCUCUGUAAACACUAAGGCAAGGGACACCUGGGUGGCUCAGUUGGUUGAUUUCUGCUCAGGUCAUGUUCUGGUGGUUCACGAGUUUGAGCCCCACAGCGGUCUCUGUGCUGAUAACACAGAGCCUGGAGCCUGCUUUGGAUUCUGUGUCUCCCUCUCUUUCUGCCCCCUCCCCCACUCAUUCUCUCCCCUUCCACACCCCUCUCUCAAAAAUAAAUGAUCAUUAAAAAAAACAAAACAAAACACUAAGGCAAGCUGGAUCCAGUGGAGAUAUAGACAAAAUAAGAUGAGAUUAGACCUGAUAGGGGCAGAUGCGGGGCCUGCUUGGUCUGACCACAAACCCUACAAAUACAGACAGACAUGAUUAACAUGAUUACCUCUCAAAAAGAAGGUGAAUUUUGUGGCUGUGUGAAUAAGAAGAAAGAGUUCAGUCCAGGUUUCCCUUGACCGCAAGGAAGACAUUCACUUCUGCCUCAGGGCCUUUGCCCUUGUUGGGAUCCUCAUGUGAGAUGCUGUUUUUACUCUAAAUAUUCACACUGUGCACCUUAUUUCACUUAGAACGUUGUUUAAGUGUCCUCCUCUCAGAGAACUUUCCUUGACCAUCCAUAUAGAGUAAUACCCCUGACAUUCUCUCAACCUUUACCCUGUUUCAUCUUUCUUCAUAGAAUCCAUCUCUACCAAAUGUGUUAUAUAUUCACUUAUUUGUUUGUUGUCUGUCCUCCGUACUAGGAAAUUGAAGACCUCAUCUAUCUGGUUUACUACUGCAUCCCCAGCACCAAAUGCAAUGCCCUGACACCUUAAGUGCUCAAUCAGUGUUCUGUGAACAAUACAUAAAAUUCUUUUUUUUUUAAUUUUUUUUAACAUUUAUUCAUUUUUGAGAGAGACGGGGAGACAGAGUGUGAGCAGGGGAGGGGCAGAGAGAGAGACAGAGAGAGAGAGAGAGAGGGAGACACAGAAUCUGAAGCAGGCUCCAGGCUCUGAGCUGUCAGCAUAGAACCCGAUGGGUGGCUGGAACUCACAAACUGUGAGAUCAUGACCAGAACCGAAGUCGGACGCUUAACCGACUGAGCCACCCAGGCGCCCCAAUGAACAAUACAUAAAAUUCUUAAUCAAGAUGAAAUAAGCUAUUCUGAGUGAGAUGAUGAGUUCCCUGUCAUUGGAGGCAUUCAAUGAGAAGUGGAUAGCUAAGUAUGUGGACUAUUAUAGAGAUGGUUCAGACCUUGGGCUGGAGUAGGCCCGCAGUCAAGCAAAUCUACUUCUCCCUACAUGACCUUUCUGGUCCUUUUCUUGCUGUUAUUUCAGUUGUGAAACAUCCUCCUUUUGGGUACCAGUUUUGCCAGCCUGGAGAAUA